AUCAAGCAUAAACUACCUUAUAUAUCUUUGAGAAUAAGGCUCAAAAGUUUCUACCUAGUUACCGUAAAUAACUAGACUAUAAGGAAAUCAAA
RNAcentral lists this non-coding RNA (92 nucleotides) under mouse gut metagenome. RNAcentral describes it as "Purine riboswitch". It matches the Rfam family "Purine riboswitch aptamer", at positions 11 to 95 of the family's 102-position model. Rfam says of the family: Riboswitches are metabolite binding domains within certain messenger RNAs that serve as precision sensors for their corresponding targets. Allosteric rearrangement of mRNA structure is mediated by ligand binding, and this results in modulation of gene expression. The record is from RNAcentral. RNAcentral also lists the same sequence under 1 other name.